RNAcentral lists this ribosomal RNA (254 nucleotides) under uncultured bacterium. Its description in RNAcentral is "partial 16S ribosomal RNA". It matches the Rfam family "Bacterial small subunit ribosomal RNA", at positions 524 to 776 of the family's 1533-position model. The record is from RNAcentral.
UACGUAGGGUGCGAGCGUUGUCCGGAAUUAUUGGGCGUAAAGAGCUCGUAGGCGGUUCGAUAAGUCGGGUGUGAAACCUCCAGGCUCAACCUGGAGACGCCACCCGAUACUGUCGUGACUAGAGUCCAGUAGGGGAGCGUGGAAUUCCUGGUGUAGCGGUGAAAUGCGCAGAUAUCAGGAGGAACACCAGCGGCGAAGGCGGCGCUCUGGGCUGGCACUGACGCUGAGGAGCGAAAGCGUGGGGAGCGAACAGG